GCCAGGCGUGGGUGACGGCACACGCCUGUAAUCCCAGCGGCUCGGGAGGCUGAGGCAGGAGGAUCGUGAGUUCAAAGUCAGCCUCGGCCAAAGUGAGGCCCUAAGCAACUCAGGGAGACCCUGUCUCUA
Molecule: small RNA, 129 nt
Filed under: Marmota monax (woodchuck)
Lineage: Eukaryota; Metazoa; Chordata; Mammalia; Rodentia; Sciuridae
Source: RNAcentral